UCUUGGUCAUUUUGAGGAAGUAAAAGUCGUAACAAGGUUUCCGUAGGUGAACCUGCGGAAGGAUCAUUUUGAAUUUUAAAUAUUUGUGAAUUUUCCACAGCAAACAAAAAUCAUACAAUCAAAACAAAAAUAAUUUAAACUUUUUACAAUGGAUCUCUUGGUUCUCGUAUCGAUGAAGAACGCAGCGAAACGCGAUAUUUCUUGUGAAUUGCAGAAGUGAAUCAUCAGUUUUUGAACGCACAUUGCACUUUGGGGUAUCCCCCAAAGUAUACUUGUUUGAGCGUUGUUUCUCUCUUGGAAUUGCUUUGCUCUUCUAAAAUUUCGAAUCAAAUUCGUUUGAAAAACAACACUAUUCAACCUCAGAUCAAGUAGGAUUUCCCGCUGAACUUUAGCAUAUCAAUAAGCGGAGGAAAAGAAACCAACAGGGAUUGCCUUUGUAACGGCGAGUGAAGCGGCAAAAGCUCAAAUUUGAAAUCGGCCACCAGGUCGAGUUGUAAUUUGUAGAUUGUAUCUUGAGAGCGGAUUUAAGUCUGUUGGAACACAGCGCCUUUGAGGGUGACAGCCCCGUAAAAUCUAUUCUCAUUGUAAGAUACUUUCGAAGAGUCGAGUUGUUUGGGAAUGCAGCUCUAAGUGGGAGGUAAAUUCCUUCUAAAGCUAAAUAUUGACGAGAGACCGAUAGC
This 680-nucleotide ribosomal RNA is filed under the name Geotrichum candidum. RNAcentral's name for it is "eukaryotic LSU rRNA". The stretch from base 355 to 680 matches the Rfam family "Eukaryotic large subunit ribosomal RNA", at positions 1 to 341 of the family's 3401-position model. The record is from RNAcentral. Lineage: Eukaryota; Fungi; Ascomycota; Dipodascomycetes; Dipodascales; Dipodascaceae.